UGGAGUAGAGAGUGAGGGAGGACUUACAGCAAAGGAUCAUGGGAGUCCAACCAGCAACUGCUGCAACAAGGACUCCACCUUCUGAACACCUGAACCUCUAAUCCAAACCAGUGCUCCAUCACAUUUGAUGUCUUGUCUGUUAUUUUACAUGGAGGGUCAGAGCAGACCAGAUAAUGAGCUCUGACAGACUGGAUCUGGUCCAAAGGUCUCCUGUUGGAGUUCUCUAAGCUCCAUAUUUUAAACCUGAACACGUGAAGUUUGAUUAUUAAUUAUUUUUAUCUUCAUUCUCUUUCCUUUUUUCAGACUGAGGAGCUGCAGUUUGUCAGAGAUCAGCUGUUCUUCUCUGGCCUCAGCUCUGAAGUCCAACCCCGACCAUCUGAAACAUCUGGACCUGAGCAGAAACAAUCUGCAGGAUUCAGGAGUGAAGCUGCUGUGUGACUCUCUGCAGAGUCCAAACUGUAAACUGGAGACUCUAGAGUGAGACUUUUUUCCUCCAUUCAAACAUGAUCAUGAUUUGUUUGUGAUGAUGACACUAAACUGCUGACUCAGGACUGAAACACUGACCCAGACUGAACACCUUCAGUCCAGAGUAGAUUUUCUGCUUCAGUGGAUUAUUUGAUUGACUCCAGUUAGAUCACUGCUGAGCUCCAGUGAAUUAAAACCUGAACCCAAGAAGAAAACUCUUUGUAGAGUUCACAGUGAGAAGCACAUUCAGACAGAAAACAGAAGCAGGGGGAGAUUUGUCAGACGAGAACCAUUCAAACUUUAGUUCAGGACAAGAAAUGGAAAAAACUCAGAGUUUAGUUUCUGACUCUGAUGAAAGUCCAGCUCUGUUACUUUGAAUUUUGUUUUUGAAUCUUUGUGUGAAAAUCUGAAUUUUCUGGUUUAUCUGCACUUUUCUGAAGCCUUGCUGUGUUUAGACUGAAAUAUUUACCUCUCAAAGACGUGAUAUUUUUGGUUCAGCAAAGUGAAAAUAUUCUGAACAUCCUUUGUUUCCCAUCCGUCCUGAAGUCGCUGACAUUUUCUGAAAAUAUUGAGCUGCAUCUACAAUCAGUAAAAAAGUCUCUGAGUUUUUUAUUUCACUAUUUAAUGUGUUUUUGAAUUCAGUGUUUCAAACUGACUUCCUGUUUGGUUCAGCUCUUUGGAGCGUCACUUUUCUUUGAUUCAUACUUUCCAAACCUUUCCCCUGAACUCUACAGAUUUAAGACAUCAGGUUUCAAACUGGAUCAUUUUUCUCUAAAAUCUCAUUAUUUCCUCUUUAUUUAGGUUGUGGCGCUGCAGUUUGACGAAGAUCAGCUGUUCUUCUCUGGCCUCAGCUCUGAAGUCCAACCCCUCCCAUCUGAAAACUCUGUGGCUGUAUGGAAACAAUCUGCAGGGUUCAGACGUGGAGCUGCUGUGUGAUCUUCAGAAGAGUCCAGACUACAGACUGGAGGAUCUGGAGUCAGUAUAGAGUUGGAGUUAGUCUGUGCUGAUCUCUCCUGUUCCUCUCCACACAGUAUCACAGCAGAUAUUCAGUAUUUCCUGCUGACUCUUCGACCCUCUCAGAGGAUUAUCUCUUUAGUGAAGCUGUGAGAACAGAAAUCAUCAAACCAGGAGUGUAAGAGUGUCAGUGAUGAAAAAAGUGUCUCCUCGUCUCUAUAUUUCAGAUCAAAUGUAGAAAUGAGACAUAAUGAAACAGAAAUGUUCAGUUUCUGCUCUGAAGUCCAGUUUAUAGUUCUCUGUAUUCAACACAGACUUUAUUUCUCUGCUAACUUGUUGAUUUUGAGCUCUAAGUCUGAAAACAGACAGCUGUUCUUUAUACUUGUUAUUUUCACAGCAGGUUUGUUCGAUCAGCUUUAACACAUUUGACAGGAAUGAUUUCUUUAUUUUGAUGAUGUUGGUUUAUUUGUGAGGAAACCUGCUGCUUUACACCAUCACUUCUGGUCUGAGCAGGACUGAGACCUGCUGGUCUGUAAACUGGAUGUUCUUCAGUCCAGCUGAUGAAGUGAGUCUCAGAGUGGAAACACUGAACGUCUUUUUUUCUCUCCUCAGAUGGAGUUAACAUCUGUCAGAGUGAAUAAGAAGAGGAUCGUGUGUUUCCUGACGAUCAGAGAGGUGGAGGCAGCAGCAGUGAGGGUGAGGUGAGUCUCUGACUGAGAGACUGACUGACCAAUCACAGCGGGCGGAGAGGACUCUGGGAGCUGCACUUUGACCUGCUCUGAGAUCAGCUCAGGACCUGGACUCUGGAUAUUUGAUAUUUUCCCUCAUACUCUGGGAUCAAACAGUCUGAACAGGUUUGUUUUGUUGAUGGAAACAUGAUCAUAAAUUUACACUUUGAUUGGAUUACUUUGUUUUCACCAUGAUGCAGCGCCACCCAGUGGAAAUAUAAAGAGGUGGAGUUGAUUUAUUCCCUCAUAUUUCUGCAGCAGGAGUUGAUACCAUGUGUGAGAGUAGAUCAGUCAGAAGUUCAGAUUAAACCCAAAGGUUUUUUCUUUCCUUUGCACCGUUAGAGACCGAAUAUAAACUGAAGGGAGAGGAAGAGAAGUGAGGAGAGAUGGAGGUGAAGGGAGGAGGAGGAGGACAGGGUUUGGGGUUUUAACAAAAAUCUGAAGCUUUAUUCUUUCACUUGAUUAUUUUUAUUCAUCCGUUUUCUUCUUCAUUUUCUGAACUGAUUGUAAAUAUUGACUGGAGGUAAAUUGACCUUAUUUUAUAUUAUUAGACAUUAUUUUCCGUCUCUUUACAUGUUUUUGUUCUCAUAUCAUCUUUGUGCUCAUCAAUAAUCGAUUCCCUCCAGUUUGAACAAAUACAAUUAUUAAACCAUAAAUGAGACCUGAGAGUAAAAUUAAAAUGUGUGAAAUAUAAUCAGUCAAAGGAAAGAUUCUUAAACAAAAACAAAAUCAUUAUUUUUACUUUAUUAUGAUGGAGAAGUUUUCCUCUGACAGACAAAAAUAACCAUAUUGACCGGAGUCUGGAAAAAGUGAGAUCAGCAUCUAUUCAGGGUGAAGUCAUUAAUGUGGUCGAUGCUGUUUUAUAAACUCAGUGUUGUUGAUUACAAUCUCAGCUUCAUAAACUGAUGCUACAGUGGAGUGACUUCCUGUAAAAUCCACUGGCUUUGUGAGACCGUCAGCUUUCAGGAGAUCAGUUUGUGUUUCUGUGACACUCCAAAGCUUUUCUAUCCCACAGAAAAGAUCGGUGUGUUUUCAGAGACCUUCCUGAUCCCAUCCCUCCAAAAUAAAAAUAAUCUGAUGGUUUAUGGAUUCAUUUCAGUAACAAAGUGUCAUUUCUGUUGUUAGCCAAUCAGAGGCUGUAUCUGCCAUCAGCUGACCUGUAAAGGUCCAAUCAGAAGUCAGGACAGCUCAUGCCACAGUCUGAUCACACUACAGACACAUAAAACAUAGAACUAUUGUAAACAGAUUUGUCCUCUUCAGUUUAUCUACUAUCAAUAGAUCUGUGCUCUGUCUGUGUAACACUCUGUUGGUUCUUCAUUUACACCAGAUCAUUUUUUAUUUCAUUUCACUGUAACAAUGCCAUUUAAAGAUAAUAAAAACUUUAUUUGAACCAAAACAUGUUAAAAACGUCAACUCGGCUCGUUUCAUUCACUGUGUGCAAUUGAUUAUUAUUAUUUUUCAUUCAAACAGAAACUAGAUUUGGUCUUUAAAAAGUCCUCAAAGUGAGUCUGAAAAGUAGAGGAAGGUUUUAUCAUCAGGGUGCAGCACAGUUGUUUCCUGUGUUUUCAUUUGUGAUAUUCUCUCUAAGGUGUGUUAUUGUUCAUUUAAAGUAUGUGGAGGACAAAUCCACACAUCUAACAAAGAAGGUAAAAUAUAAAGAUAGGAGAUUUCUGCAUGACAUCAACGAUAUCCUGGAUUUAGUUUUCUAAGCAACAGGUGGUCGUCUUUUAUCGGGGGUACUUUGAUCCAGAAAUCUGAAAAGGGGUUACUAAAGCAAAAGAAGAAAAACCAGAGACUGUAUAUAGAAUGGACAGAGUCUGCCUCCUCGCUGGGUGAAGCCACUCUGAGAACAGCACCCUCUGUUGAUGGGCUGCAGUAUAGGUCAUAAAUCCCGCCUGCGCCAGCAAAGCUUAUGGAGCUGUGGACGAACUUUAGAAAUUUAUUACACAGAACAUAAUUUUUUCUCCCUCCUGGUUGUGAUGUUGACAUGUAGUUAUUGUCAGACUGGUUUGUGCUCAAGUCCUCUUUUUUCUGUGAAGCUCCAUUUUUAAAAGUUAUUAGGGGGUUCAUGUUUGCUAUGACGUUUCACAGCCAUAAGGAAUAACCAAUCGGAGCCUAGCACUUCUAGCCAAUCAGAUGCGAAGGAGGGUGGGACCUUCCCCUACCAUCCCACGAAAAAAAAAACCAAACACGUCCGGGUUUGCCGACCUUUAUUUCUGAGCCCCAGAUAACAGGACAGAGAUACCUAAAGCAUACAACGUGAACUUGUGUUAUCACAUCAACAUAUUUGGCUCCUACACUGAAUAUAAUGUUGGACAGUGAUCUUUGUAAAGUGAGGUGAAGGAGGAGUUUGUGUAGUGACAACACAAUCACACUGUGUGCAAAAAUAAAAACCUGUUCAACCAAAUCUUCACAUUUAGUUGGGGUAUGAGAAGAGGAGUGCUCAUCUGAAGUUUGUUGGUUUGACCAGCAGGUGGAGCUGCUGCAUUAACAAUAAACUGAGACUCAACCAAACAAACAAGUUCCUGUUUUAGUGAACUUUGAAUUUGGACUCAGGAGAGGAAGAUGGUUGUCAAGAAUACUGAACUUAAAGGAUGAUCAAUAACGGUCAGUAAAUGAGGAGAAGAAUCUGUGAUCUGGUGGUUUAGGUUUCAGUGAAAACAGUCAGAGUGAAAGUGAAAGUAUGUGAGCUGAAAAACAGACUCCAUUUUGAGAAAAGAAGAGAGAGGAGAGGACGAGGAGACAGGGUGAGUGUUUACUCUGUUUUAGUUUUAAUGUCAAACUCUUUAUCUGUUUUAUCUGUUAAUGAAAAAAUGAUUUACUGACUAAAACACUUAAAAACUGUAAAACAAAGAAACCUGAGCAGACAAAGAGCUGGAUCAGUUCUUCAUACAGGAAACUGUGUACGUGCAGUUCUUCCUCCUCUUUGUUUAGACUUGUCUUUUUGGUAAAAAUAUUAAUCAGAAUCUUUUUAGCGUCUCAUUUCAACUUUAAUCCAGUCUCCUUAAGUUUUUAUGAGAGUUCAGGGACCUCACAGCUGAUUUUGUUUUGACCAUGAAUCAGACAAGGAUCAGAGAGAGGCCCUGCAGGGUGGGGAGACAUCAGAAGUUCUUGGAUAUUAAACCUGUAUAACUCUUAAAGAGGGGGAUGAAGCUGUUUUUAGACUCUGUACUUCCUUUCUGAUUCCUCUUUUAUUUCUGAACUCUCUCUUCCUGUUUGUAUCUCACCUGUUUGUCUUCUUUGUCCUCAGGUUGUAUAACUCGGUUUCAGCCUCCAUAAAUUUGCACAACAGAAGAUGGAGAAGAUGAGUGUUGGUGUCGAGGAAGAGGAGGGCAGAGCAGAGUCUGAUAUGUUUGACUGUCUGUCUAUGAAGAGUGACCAGUCUAAAGGUUUUGAUAUAAACUUCAGUAAAGAACCAGGACCCCCAGAGGAGGACAGAACAAAGUCUGUUAUCUCCAGCUGUCUGUCUAUGAAGAGUGACCGGUCUAAAGAUCCUCCACCAAAAUUCAGUGAAGAACCAGGACCCUCAGAUUCACAGUAAGAGAAACACUUUUCAAUCACCAAACUCUCAAACAACAACAAUUGACGUUUCAAAUACAAAACUUUAAAUCCUGACCCCUCUGUUUUCUCCUCUGUUCUCAAAACACUGAUUUUCCUCUUAAACCUGCCAACCUGGAUAAAAUUCAAUUCAAUUCAACUUUAUUUAUAAAGCCCAUUUCAUGUACAAGGCAGACUCAAUGUUCUUCACAACAGGUGUACAUAGUUAAAAACAGUUAUACAAAAAUCAAUUAGAAAUCAAUGUAAGAGUGUAAGUGCAAGUCAACUUCACUGCAUGCACACUUAAACUCGUACAUGCGCACGCACUCACACAUGGACACGUGCACACGUACACACAUACACACACAGUUUAAAAGAAUGCUAUAGAAAUCUGUUUUUAAAGAUGGCUACUGAUGUGUCUAACUGUGUCAGGCAUGGUGUUCCAUUUUUGUGGGGCAUAAACACUCAAAGCUGCCUCCCCUCAUUUGGAUCUGGUGUGAGGGAUGAGUAAGUUGCCACUGCCUGUUGACCGAAGUGUUCUUGCUGAGGUGUAGGUGAUGAGCAUAUCUGUGAUGUACUGAGGUGCAAGGCCAUGUAGUGCUUUGUAAACCAGGAGGAGUAUUUUGAAAUCGAUUCUUGUCCUAACGGGUAACCAAUGUACAGAUUUGAGAACGGGUGUGAUGUGUUGAUAUUUUUUGGUACCAGUGAGAAUACAUGCAGCUGCAUUUUGAAUUAACUGUAACCUCUGAAGACUUGAUUUUGGGAGUCCAGUGAAUAAACCGUUAUCCAGUAGUAAUCCAGUCUACUUCUUAUAAAUGCAUGGAUGAAUUUUUCUAAGUCUGAUUUUGACAGAAAGCCCCUCAAUUUGGAGAUAUUUUUGAGAUGAUAGAAAGAUGAUCUUGAAUUGAAUCUUGUAAUGGAUAAAAGGCUGGUAAAGAAAAACUCACUGAGCACAGAUUUACUUAUUAUUGUUGAUGUUUAUAAAAAUGAAAGUCGUUUAAAACAGCAUUUGAAAAGGAUUCUGACUUCUUGUAUUUUCUGAUUUGGUUCCUGUGUUUGGGACGUUUUGAGCCUGUUAGUCUUUGGACUGUGGUCUGUAGACCCCAGAAAACAGUCUGUGGGUCACAAAAUACCAGAAGACCAAUGAAGAAAUAAAUCCUGAGAAAUAAAAACUCAUUCAGAGCAUCUGUCUGUUAUUAGACCUUUAGAUCUGAUCGGUGGAAAAAAAAGUUUUAAACUGUCAGAGAAAAUCUCUCUACCUUCAAAAUCACUUUAGUUUUUUCUCUUGUCACGACACUUCAGGCAGCAGCAGCUGAAUAUUUUACAGGAGAUUGUUUUAUGUUAGAGAAAAGAGAAACUCUGGUUUAAUAAAUGUUUCUUAUUCUGUAUCUUUCAAACAUGAAAUAAUAAAGAAAAUAAAUGUUCUUUAUUUCCACAGAGAGACACAGAGAUGUGACUCUGUGGAGGAGCAGCUGUCCAGAUGUUCUUUAUGUCAGGACGUCCUGAAGGAUCCAGUCUCUACCCGCUGUGGACACCAGUCUACUUCUUCAGGAUACACCUCCUGUCCCCAGUGUGGAAAAAGAACCAGAACAGUUCUUGUCUUUCAGACAGACAGCCAGUCCAGCUCUGAUCGAAGUAAGUCUGAACACCUUUAAACCCUAAAUUAUACAAUUUCUGCCAGAAUUAUUUUGCUUAUUUUAGCCAUAAAAUUGGCAGAAAAUGUCCUAUGAGUGAGUGCUUUUUUAUUCAUUGGCUUUCAACCCUGCAUGAGACUCGGCUCCUGUUUUAGUGUUUUAUGUUUUUUUUUUUUUUUUUUUUUUAUGUCUAUGCUUUUUUGUCUAUUUAUAUACAGCACUUUGGUUGGCUGUGGUUGUUUUAAAGUGCUUUACAAAUAAAGUUGAGUUUUACCCAUUUUUCCAGAACACUUCAAACUUUCAAUAUCUGGCUGUCAUUUACGAUUUACUGCCUGUUAAAAGAGUGCUAUAACAUUUUAAGAUAAAGAAAAACACAAAAACGGAAUACGAUUUUUUGAGUUUUAAUGAGAAAAAACAGAAAAUAUUCAUGAAAAACAGAUUUUUCAUUUGAAAUAAAAAAAAAUUAAAGAGUAUCAAACAUAUUUACAACAAAAACUUUGGAGUGCUGUCUCUCCAAGUGCAAAAACAGGCUAAAUAAAUACAACUAUGUCCACGCGUUUCUCCUCGUUUCUCCUCUCUCACUCAGAGGUCUUUGUGAAACUGUCAGAAGCUGUUCCUUUCUGUCUGCGGACACAGACCCACAUCACACCACUCACACUUCCAGGCAGUUCUCCUUAUGACAAAGUUUGCAGCGUCGUCUCCUCAUGCUAGUUCUUUGAGACUUCAUCUGUCCAUGGCUUGUUUGGGCACGUAGCUAUACUCUACUAUAAGCGAAGUGGAUGUAAUUCUCGGCGGGCAUGUGUUUCUCGGUACAACAUCAACGGUUGCAAAAUGAGAAAACGACGAGAAAACCGCCGAAGAUGAAGACUUGGUGGUAAGAAGAAAAGCAACGUCACUAACCUUUGAAGAUGAAGACUCGUUGAUUAAAAGAACGUCACUAACCAUAGAAGAUGAAGACUCGUUGAUUAAAAGAAAAGCAACGUCACUAACCAUUGUAGAUGAAUAUUCGUUGAUUAAAAGAAAAGCCACGUCACUUAUCUGUAAUUAUUUCGGUUACAAAAAGGAUGACGUCACCUAACACCUGUUCUGUGACGGCAGUGUCUUUCAUCUGUUUCCACAAUAACGUCCCAGCAGAACAAUAAAAACUAAAAAUAUCUCUAAGACAGACAGAAGCCAUUCUACUAACAUUCACUAAAAGAGGGAAGAUCAGUGCAGGUUAACUGUCCUCAAGAUUUCAGCAGAAAGUCAGAUUCAGAUCAUCUGCUAAAAAUUCCUCUAUUUUUUAAUAACGCUUAUAUAUCACAGGGUUGAACAACUUUGCAAUGUUAGUGUUUUCUAAUAUCAUGCUGUCUUAAUAGGCACACGUUACUACAAACUCACUGCCUUAGCAUGGUAUUCUAAUAAAGUCACAACAGGUUAUAAGUGUUGAUUUACUCAUAAAAUAACGUAAAUAAAUUAAAAACGACACAGAGAGCGCUUCAUUCAUCCAGAAACCAACACAGAAAACCAACCAGUCAAACUUUACCUUUCUCUGUCUGAAGUUGCUCUGAAAGCUUCUCCAUCUGUCCCAAAGUCGUCUGUAAACCUCAGUGGAGGUUUUCUCACUUGGGAGAGUUUAUCACAGACAUUUUCCUUUGAAAUAAUCCCUUUUUUGUCACUUUUCUCUCUUUUUGCUCCGUUUCUCUGCUCUGUUGUGUGUCUAUCCGCUGCUCCCUUUGAGAGGGGGAGAGGGGACGAGGAGACAGAUUUUCUCACUUCCCCAAACAGCAGGAGUGAAAUUACCGUAAUAACCGUUUAUUGACCGUGUGGCGCAACUUCUCAGCUUUCAGAAACCGUUGGAGAUUUUUUUUUGAUAGAACAAACUACCGCAAAGUUACGGUAAUUUAAAGAGCGCCUGUAUAAAGGUGUCGGCGCCGACGGACUGUGAGGAAAAGUCUGUGUGGAUGAAAACUCAGCUGACUGAUUUUCACAAAGACGUUUCAGUGUUGAGAAGUUUGGUUCAUUUUAUUUUUCUUCUCUUUCAGAUGAUGGCCUCCCGCAGGAGGUUUUAGAUGAACAUAAGAUCAGUCUGAAGAGGAGAUGUGAACGUGUGAAUGAAGGAAGUGAUGAAACAGGAAGUAGUCAAACCCUCCUCAACAGGAUCUUCACUGAGCUCUACAUCACAGAGGGACUGAGUGAAGAGGUGAACACCCAACAUGAGGUGAGACAGCUGGAGACUACUUCAAAGAUGAAGACCCUCCAUGACAUGCCCAUCAGGUGUCAUGAGAUCUUUAAAACCUUACCUGACCAACAGAAGAAGCUCAUCAGAGUGGUUCUGACCAACGGCGUGGCUGGUGUUGGAAAAACCUUCUCAGUGCAGAAGUUCACUCUGGACUGGGCAGAGGGUUUGGAGAACCAAGACCUCCAUCUGGUGGUCCUGCUUUCAUUCAGGGAGCUGAACCUGAUCAGAGAUGAGCGCUUCAGUCUUCUGAGUCUGCUCCAUGUUUUCCAUCCAACCCUAGAGAAGGUCACAGCAGAGACGCUGGCUGUCUGUAAACUUCUGUUCAUCUUUGACGGUCUGGAUGAAAGCAGACUGUCUCUGGAUUUCACAGACUCUGAGGUGGUGUCUGACGUCACACAGAAGUCUUCACUCAACGUUCUGAUAACAAACCUCGUCAAGGGGAACCUGCUCCCCUCAGCUCUCAUCUGGAUAACUUCUCGACCUGCAGCAGCCAAUCAGAUCCCUCCUUCACAUGUGGACAGGAUAACAGAAGUACGAGGCUUCACUGACGCCCAGAAGGAGGAGUACUUCAGGAAGAGGUUCAGAGAUGAAGAUCUGUCCAGAAGAAUCAUCCAACACAUCAAGUCCUCCAGGAGCCUCCACAUCAUGUGUCAGAUCCCGGUCUUCUGCUGGAUCACUGCGACAGUUCUGGAGGACAUGAUGAGAAGAAAGCAGAGAGGAGAGCUGCCCAAGACCCUGACUGACAUGUACUCACACUUCCUGCUGGUCCAGACUCAGAGGAAGAAGCAGAAGUAUGAAGGAGGACAUGAGACAAGUCCUCAGGAGCUGAUGGAUGCUGACAGUGACGUCCUCCUGAAGCUGGGGAGGCUGGCAUUGGAACAUCUGAACAGUGGAAACAUCAUGUUCUACCAAGAAGACCUGGAGCGGUGUGGUCUGGAUGUCUCAGAGGCCUCAGUGUACUCAGGAGUUUGUACAGAGAUCUUCAGAAGAGAGAGUGUGAUCUUCCAGAAAACUGUUUACUGUUUCGUUCAUCUGAGCGUUCAGGAGUUUCUGUCUGCAGUCUACAUGAUCCACAGUUUCACAACCAGGAACACAGAAGCUCUGAAGACUUUCCUAAGAAGCAACGAUGAUGAAGAUAAAAUGUCUUCUUCAGAGAUGGUUGACAGAUUUUUUCAAAACCUGGAUUAUUUUUUCUCAUCUCAGGAUGUCUUCCUGAAGAGUGUCAUGAUGAAAUCCCUUGUCAGUAAAAACGGUCACCUGGACCUGUUUGUUCGCUUCCUUCAUGGACUCUCUGUGGCGUCAAACCAGAGACUCUUAGGAGGUCUGCUGGGUCACACAGACAACAGUCCAGAAAUGAUCCAAACAGUCAUCAAGAACCUGAAGGAGAUGAACAGAGAAGAUAUCUCUCCUGACAGAAGCAUCAACAUCUUCCACUGUCUGAUGGAGAUGAACGAUCUGUCAGUUCAUCAGGAGAUUCAAGAGCUCCUGAAGUCAGGGAACAAAUCAGAGAAGAAACUCUCAGUGUUCCAGUGCUCUGCUCUGGCCUACAUGCUGCAGAUGUCAGAGGAGGUUCUGGAGGAGUUGGACUUAAAGAAUUAUAAAACAUCAGACCAGGGACGACGGAGACUGAUCCCAGCUGUGAGGAACUGCAGAAAGGCUGUGUGAGUCCAGGUUUUAUUCUCAGAAUAGUGUAAAUGAUCCCUGUAGUUCUUCUAAUGUCCACGUUACUGAUGAUGUUCUUCUUCAAAUAGAAAUCCACUCAAAUAUCAGGGAGGGGGUUUCUUCAGCAAAAACAUGAUCCUGGUGUCUAAAGUCCUGUUAGUCCAGGAUGAGGUCUACCCGUGGACCCCUGAGAACUUGUCCUAAUUGUGGAGGACCUCUUUGUUUUGAAUCGUGUCUGUAAUGAAUAAAGUGGAACUUUGAGGACAAAUCAGCGACCAUAUCUGAGGACACACAGAGGUCUUCUGAUGAUGGUAUCAGUCCAGAUCAACAUCUCAGUCAGUUGUGGUGAACUUGAGUUUGAAGAAGGUGUCUGCAGCUUCUUCCUGCUGGUUUUCAGGUUGGAAAUGAUGAAUCAGUUGUAAAUGAGGGUGUUGACAGCAUUGAUGGUGAAAAUAGAACUGGAUCAUUUUCUACACAGUGGCAGAACUGUCUUCAAAGAAAUGUUUUUAUCUGAACCAAACAGAGAAACAGGAGCUGCUGUGAUUUAGUGAGUCGUCUUCUGAUUGGUCAACAGUCAGUGCCUUACAUUAUAGCAGGAUGUCAACACUAAACACUGAGAGGAGCAUAAGUCAUGGAGUCAUUUGUCUUGAACAUCUAAACAGUUUUUUUUUUCUUCUAAACUUGGACUUCCUGUCUUCUCUCAUGGCUGUGGUCCUGAUAUUAGUAUCUGUCUGGUUAGAAACAGGCCGUCUGUCAAACCAAAGAUCAUGUUUGAGUUGUUUUUGGGGAAGAGAAACAUCAAAUAACCCUUUAAUAAAAUAUUGUUUGAUAUUUAUGUUGUUACAGAUUUUCUCUCUGUGGACUCUCAAAGACUCACUGUGAAGUUGUGGCCUCAGCUCUGAAGUCCAACCCCUCCCAUCUGAGACAUCUGGACCUGAGUAACAACGAGCUGAAGGAUUCAGGAGUGAAGCUUCUCUCUGCAGGACUGGAGAGUCCAAACUGCAGACUGGAGACUCUGAUGUGAGACACCAUUUCCUUCUGAUCUAACAAUAAGAUGUGACAGCUGCUGCCUUAGAUUUUUCUCUGUGGUUUUUCCAUCAACUUUGGUCGAGCAGUUUGAAUUUGUCGUUGUAAAACUUCGACACAGGAAGAAAAAUCUGACAUUUCAGAGUUGACUUUGAGGAGAACGAUGGAUGUAGAAAGGAAGCAGGAGAAAAUCAGUCCCACAAAUAUUACACAUGCUUGUAGAGGGCAGGAGCAGCACAGACUAAAGGCUGAUACUGAACUGAUCCACAGUUAAUGUGAUCACCAAUGAAUGAAUGAAGUGUCAGAGAAAUGAUGAGCUGCAGAUUGAAACCUGAAGAACAAAGUUAAUCCAACUCUGGAUAUUUCAUUUGGAAACUCUUGAAAACUUGAAUUUCUUCUUUGCUCAGUCGUGUUCAAAUGUAAAAACCAGAUCCAGAUUUGUCUGCAGUUUUCACUUCAGUUUGUUGAACAUGAACAUCAUCUUGUCCAGCUGGUCCAUAAAAACCUCUCUGAUCAAUGAUCUGUUGGUUUAUUUAAGAGUAGUUUGGCAGUUGUUGACAGCAGACGGACAGACCCCUGAAUAAACUCCUGACUGUUUUCAUCUUCAUGAAGAAUUCAGGACUACAAAAGAACCUUUGAGAUUUCUCACAGGAGUUUCUCAGGAUCUCACUAAAGUUUUCUGUUUCUGUAAAAUUUUCUUGACUGAUAAAUUCCUCUGGAUCUUCAAAAAGUUUAGAGAAGAUUUUACAAAGUUCCUGAAGAUCAACUCUGAAAAAGUUCUUCUUCCGUGUCCUUCAGGGUUCAAGAACAUUGAAUCAUUAAAAACAGGAACAGUUUCUUCAGAGGUUACAUGAUUUUUUUCUUUUUUCAGACUGUGACAGGUGUUUAUUAGUCUUUUUGACACGUUACAAUAAUGAGGAUAAAGUCAUGGACUAAACUUGGGCUCCCAGUUUCCUUGUUGUUGUUUCUUCAGCUAGCAUCAUUGUUUUCAUCACAGUUCUUAAAGUAAUAAUGAUGCUUCAUAAAUUCAGAGUCACAAAAAAACACCAAACAAACCAAAUCUGAAAAAAAUCCACUUUUUCAUCAAAUGAGUUUAAUCGGUCAGAACAUGAGGUUUGAGUUUUCAUGAGGAGGAAACGAGAAAGAUCUGCUCUGACAGUGAGAAACACAGACGCCUGAAUCUACACUGACAGACACACAAAUACAGACAGAGAGACACAGACAGAGAGACACAGACACAGACACACAAAUACAGACACACAGAGACACAGACACACAAACAGACUAACAGAGAUUUUCUUCUUCGUCUCUUUGCUGUGAUGACUGAAGUCACAAAAACAAAGUUUUCUUCGUCACUUUUAUGAUUGAACCAAAUAAGUUAAAGAACCAAACUCUCAGAUUUUCUUCUUCUCAAUAUUAUUUGAACCAUUUAGAUUUUUCUCCUGAUCAAUAUUCAAUGAUCAGAUUGAUCAGGUUCCUGUUUUGGCUCCACUGCCUCUUUUCUGCAGCUCAAUAACUGCUCAUAUGGUUUGAAAGGUUCCUGCAGUAAAACCCGAUUAGAGAGUGGACUAAAUGAAAUGUGAGUGAACUCAGCCAUCAGUGAAUCAAUGACAAAGUGAGAGGAAGAGUGGAUCUGUCUGCUGUCUGACCUUGUUGAUCCUGAUGAAGGUGAGGGAGAAGAGUAAAGCAGUAAAGGUGAUGUUGUUGCAGACAGAGUCAGCUGACCUGUCUCAUCAGAGUCUCAUCCAUUCUCUGUUUGGCAGAGCGCUGAUGUUACAGUCUGAGAGCACAUUCAGGUUCAGCUUCACAUGGGCUGGAUCUGCUCAAUACAAACUCUUGAGACCAGCCUGGUUGAGGGAGGUGGGCUCAGUGUCCUGGGUGACUCUCUCUGAGCUCUUCUUGGUUGAGAGUAUUUCUGGUUUGUCUCUGACUUCCAUGAACUCAGAUCUGGAGGAUUGCUGGCUGGUCCGGUCCAGUUCUGACAGUAGAGACAACACAGUCUGUUAUUCUGGGUUGAGUGUUCUUGUUGAAGAUCAGUGUACAGUGAGGGAUGAAGGCAGACAAAGAUCCUCCUGUUUCCUCCAUGUCACAGUUCAAGUUCAUUUUGAAGACUUUGAUUGAUACGAGCGCUGAAGAGGAACAGGAAACGUGGAGUAGAGAGUGAGGGAGGACUUACAGCAAAGGAUCAUGGGAGUCCAACCAGCAACUGCUGCAACAAGGACUCCACCUUCUGAUCAUCUGAACCUCUAAUCCAAACCAGUGCUCCAUCACAUUUGAUGUCUUGUCUGUUAUUUUACAUGGAGGGUCAGAGCAGACCAGAUCAUGAGCUCUGACAGACUGGAUCUGGUCCAAAGGUCUCCUGUUGGAGUUCUCUAAGCUCCAUAUUUUAAUCCUGAACACCUGAAGUUUGAUUAUUAAUUAUUUUUAUCUUCAUUCUCUUUCCUUUUUUCAGAUUGUAUAAAUGCAGUUUGUCAGAGAUCAGCUGUUCUUCUCUGGCCUCAGCUCUGAAGUCCAACCCCUCCCAUCUGAGAUAUCUGGACCUGAGUUACAACAAUCUGCAGGAUUCAGGAAUGAAGCUGCUGUGUGACUCUCUGCAGAGUCCAAACUGUAAACUGGAGACUCUGAGGUGAGACACCAUUUCCUUCUGAUCUAACAAUAAGAUGUGACAGCUGCUGCCUUAGAUUUUUCUCUGUGGUUUUUCCAUCAACUUUGGUCGAGCAGUUUGAAUUUGUCGUUGUAAAACUUCAACACAGGAAGAAAAAUCCGACAUUUCAGAGUCGACUUUGAGGAGAACGAUGGAUGUAGAAAGGAAGCAGGAGAAAAUCAGUCCACAAAUAUUACACAUGCUUGUAGAGGGCAGGAGCAGCACAGACUAAAGGCUGAUACUGAACUGAUCCACAGUUAAUGUGAUCACUAAUGAAUGAAUGAAGUGUCAGAGAAAUGAUGAGCUGCAGAUUGAAACCUGAAGAACAAAGUUAAUCCAACUCUGGAUAUUUCAUUUGGAAACUCUUGAAAACUUGAAUUUCUUCUUUGCUCAGUCGUGUUCAAAUGUAAAAACCAGAUCCAGAUUUUUCUGCAGUUUUCACUUCAGUUUGUUGAACAUGAACAUCAUCUUGUCCAGUUGGUCCAUAAAAACCUCUCUGAUCAAUGAUCUGUUGGUUUAUUUAAGAGUAGUUUGGCAGUUGUUGACAGCAGACGGACAGACCCCCUGAAUAAACUCCUGACUAUUUUCAUCUUCAUGAAGAAUUCAGGACUACAAAAAAACCUUUGAGAUUUCUCACAGGAGUUUCUCAGGAUCUCACUAAAGUUUUCUGUUUCUGUAAAAUUUUCUUGACUGAUAAAUUCCUCUGGAUCUUCAAAAAGUUUAGAGAGGAUUUUACAAAGUUCCUGAAGAUCAACUCUGAAAAAGUUCUUCUUCCGUGUUCCUUCAGGGUUCAAGAACAUUGAAUCAUUAAAAACAGGAACAGUUUCUUCAGAGGUUACAUGAUUUUUUUCUUUUUUCAGACUGUGACAGGUGUUUAUUAGUCUUUUUGACACGUUACAAUAAUGAGGAUAAAGUCAUGGACUAAACUUGGGCUCCCAGUUUCCUUGUUGUUGUUUCUUCAGCUAGCAUCAUUGUUUUCAUCUCAGUUAUUAAAGUAAUAAUGAUGCUUCAUAAAUUCAGAGUCACAAAAAAACACCAAACAAACCAAAUCUGAAAAAAAUCCACUUUUUCAUCAAAUGAGUUUAAUCGGUCAGAACAUGAGGUUUGAGUUUUCAUGAGGAGGAAACGAGAAAGAUCUGCUCUGACAGUGAGAAACACAGACGCCUGAAUCUACACUGACAGACACACAAAUACAGACAGAGAGACACAGACAGAGAGACACAGACACAGACACAGACACACAAAUACAGACACACAGAGAGACAGACACACAAACACAGACUAACAGAGAUGUUCCUCUCUGUCUCUUUGCUGUGAUGACUGAAGUCACAAAAACAAAGUUUUCUUCGUCACGUUUAUGAUUGAACCAAAUAAGUUAAAGAACCAAACUCUCAGAUUUUCUUCUUCUCAAUAUUAUUUGAACCAUUUUGAUUUUUCUCCUGAUCAAUAUUCAAUGAUCAGAUUGAUUAGGUUCCUGUUUUGGCUCCACUGCCUCUUUUCUGCAGCUCAAUAACUGCUCAUAUGGUUUGAAAGGUUCCUGCAGUAAAACCCGAUUAGAGAGUGGACUAAAUGAAAUGUGAGUGAACUCAGCCAUCAGUGAAUCAAUGACAAAGUGAGAGGAAGAGUGGAUCUGUCUGCUGUCUGACCUUGUUGAGCCUGAUGAAGGUGAGGGAGAAGAGUAAAGCAGUAAAGGUGAUGUUGUUGCAGACAGAGUCAGCUGACCUGUCUCAUCAGAGUCUCAUCCAUUCUCUGUUUGGCAGAGCACUGAUGUUACAGUCUGAGAGCACAUUCAGGUUCAGCUUCACAUGGGCUGGAUCUGCUCAAUACAAACUCUUGAGACCAGCCUGGUUGAGGGAGGUGGGCUCAGUGUCCUGGGUGACUCUCUCUGAGCUCUUCUUGGUUGAGAGUAUUUCUGGUUUGUCUCUGACUUCCAUGAACUCAGAUCUGGAGGAUUGCUGGCUGGUCCGGUCCAGUUCUGACAGUAGAGACAACACAGUCAGUUAUUCUGGGUUGAGUGUUCUUGUUGAAGAUCAGUGUACAGUGAGGGAUGAAGGCAGACAAAGAUCCUCCUGUUUCCUCCAUGUCACAGUUCAAGUUCAUUUUGAAGACUUUGAUUGAUCCGAGCGCUGAAGAGGAACAGGAAACGUGGAGUAGAGAGUGAGGGAGGACUUACAGCAAAGGAUCAUGGGAGUCCAACCAGCAACUGCUGCAACAACGACUCCACCUUCUGAUCAUCUGAACCUCUAAUCCAAACCAGUGCUCCAUCACAUUUGAUGUCUUGUCUGUUAUUUUACAUGGAGGGUCAGAGCAGACCAGAUCAUGAGCUCUGACAGACUGGAUCUGGUCCAAAGGUCUCCUGUUGGAGUUCUCUAAGCUCCAUAUUUUAAACCUGAACACCUGAAGUUUGAUUAUUAAUUAUUUUUAUCUUCAUUCUCUUUCCUUUUUUCAGAUUGUAUAAAUGCAGUUUGUCAGAGAUCAGCUGUUCUUCUCUGGCCUCAGCUCUGAAGUCCAACCCCUCCCAUCUGAAACAUCUGGACCUGAGUUACAACAAGCUGCAGGAUUCAGGAGUGAAGCUUCUGUGUGAAUUUGUGCAGAGUCCAAACUGUAAACUGGAGACUCUGAAGUGAGACUUUUUCCCUCCAUUCAAACAUGAUCAUGAUUUGUUUGUGAUGAUGACACUAAACUGCUGACUCAGGACUGAAAUACUGACCCAGACUGAACACCUUCAGUCCAGAGUAGAUUUUCUUCAUCAGUGGAUUAUUUGAUUGACUCCAGUUAGAUCACUGCUGAGCUCCAGUGAAUUAAAACCUGAACCCAAGAAGAAAACUCUUUGUAGAGUUCACAGUGAGAAGCUCAUUCAGACAGAAAACAGAAGCAGGGGGAGAUUUGUCAGAUGAGAACCAUUCAAACUUUUGUUCAGGACAAGAUCAGGGAAUAGAAAAAACUCAGAGUUUAGUUUCUGACACUGAUGAAAGUCCAGCUCUGUUACUUUGAAUUUUGUUUUUGAAUCUUUGUGUGAAAAUCUGAAUUUUCUGGUUUAUCUGCACUUUUCUGAAGCCUUACUGUGUUUAGACUGAAAUAUUUACCUCUCAAAGACGUGAAAUUUUUGGUUCAGCAAAGUGAAAAUAUUCUGAACAUCCUUUGUUUCCCAUCCGUCCUGAAGUCACUGACAUUUUCUGAAAAUAUUGAGCUGCAUCUACAAUCAGUAAAAAAGUCUCUGAGUUUUUUAUUUCACUAUUUAAUGUGUUUUUGAAUUCACUGUUUCAAACUGACUUCCUGUUUGGUUCAGCUCUUUGGAGCGUCACUUUUCUCUGAUUUAUACUUUCCAAACCUUUCCCCUGAACUCUACAGAUUUAAGACAUCAGGUUUCAAACUGGAUCAUUUUUCUCUAAAAUCUCAUUAUUUCCUCUUUAUUUAGGUUAAUGAGCUGCAGUUUGACGAAGAUCAGCUGUUCUUCUCUGGCCUCAGCUCUGAAGUCCAACCCCUCCCAUCUGAAAACUCUGUGGCUGUAUGGAAACAAUCUGCAGGGUUCAGACAUGAAGCUGCUGUGUGAUCUUCAGAAGAGUCCUGACUACAGACUGAGGACUCUGAAGUCAGUAUAGAGUUGGAGUUAGUCUGUGCUGAUCUCUCCUGUUCCUCUCCACACAGUAUCACAGCAGAUAUUCAGUAUUUCCUGCUGACUCUUCGACCCUCUCAGAGGAUUAUCUCUUUAGUGAAGCUGUGAGAACAGAAAUCAUCAAACCAGGAGUGUAAGAGUGUCAGUGAUGAAAAAAGUGUCUCCUCGUCUCUAUAUUUCAGAUCAAAUGUAGAAAUGAGACAUAAUGAAACAGAAAUGUUCAGUUUCUGCUCUGAAGUCCAGUUUAUAGUUCUCUGUAUUCAACACAGACUUUAUUUCUCUGCUAACUUGUUGAUUUUGAGCUCUAAGUCUGAAAACAGACAGCUGUUCUUUAUACUUGUUAUUUUCACAGCAGGUUUGUUCGAUCAGCUUUAACACAUUUGACAGGAAUGAUUUCUUUAUUUUGAUGAUGUUGGUUUAUUUGUGAGGAAACCUGCUGCUUUACACCAUCACUUCUGGUCUGAGCAGGACUGAGACCUGCUGGUCUGUAAACUGGAUGUUCUUCAGUCCAGCUGAUGAAGUGAGUCUCAGAGUGGAAACACUGAUCGUCUUUUUUUCUCUCCUCAGAUGGAGUUAACAUCUGUCAGAGUGAUUAAGAAGAGGAUCAUGUGUUUCCUGACGAUCAGAGAGGUGGAGGCAGCAGCAGUGAGGGUGAGGUGAGUCUCUGACUGAGAGACUGACUGACCAAUCACAGCGGGCGGAGAGGACUCUGGGAGCUGCACUUUGACCUGCUCUGAGAUCAGCUCAGGACCUGGACUCUGGAUAUUUGAUAUUUUCCCUCAUAUUCUGGGAUCAAACAGUCUGAACAGGUUUGUUUUGUUGAUGGAAACAUGAUCAUAAAUUUACACUUUGAUUGGAUUACUUUGUUUUCACCAUGAUGCAGCGCCACCCAGUGGAAAUAUAAAGAGGUGGAGUUGAUUUAUUCCCUCAUAUUUCUGCAGCAGGAGUUGAUACCAUGUGUGAGAGUAGAUCAGUCAGAAGUUCAGAUUAAACCCAAAGGUUUUUUCUUUCCUUUGCACCGUUACAGACCGAAUAUAAACUGAAGGGAGAGGAAGAGAAGUGAGGAGAGAUGGAGGUGAAGGGAGGAGGAGGACAGGGUUUGGGGUUUUAACAAAAAUCUGAAGCUUUAUUCUUUCACUUGAUUAUUUUUAUUCAUCCGUUUUCUUCUUCAUUUUCUGAAAUGAUUGUAAAUAUUGACUGGAGGUAAAUUUGUCUUAUUUAAUAUUAUUAGACACUAUUUUCCGUCUCUUUACAUGUUUUUGUUCUCAUAUCAUCUUUGUGCUCAUCAAUAAUCGAUUCCCUCCAGUUUGAACAAAUACAAUUAUUAAACCAUAAAUGAGACCUGAGAGUAAAAUUAAAAUGUGUGAAAUAUAAUCAGUCAAAAGAAAGAUUCUUGAACAAAAACAAAAUCAUUAUUUUUACUUUAUUAUGAUGGAGAAGUUUUCCUCUGACAGACAAAAAUAACCGUAUUGACUGGAGUCUGGAAAAAGUGAGAUCAGCAUCUAUUCAGGGUGAAGUCAUUAACGUGGUCGAUGCUGUUUUAUAAACUCAGUGUUGUUGAUUACAAUCUCAGCUUCAUAAACUGAUGCUACAGCUCAUGUCACAGUCUGCUCACACCACAGAAACAUUAAACAUAGAACUAUUGUGAACAGAUUUGUCCUCUUCAGCUAAUCUACUAUCAAUAGAUCUGUGCUCUGUCUGUGUAACACUAUGUUGGUUCUUCAUUUACUCCAGAUCAUUUUUUUAUGUCAUUUCACUGUAACAAUGUCAUUUAAAGAUAAUAAAAACUUUAUUUGAACUAAAACAUGUUAAAAACAUCAACUCAGCUUGUUUCAUUUACUGUGUGCAAUUGAUUAUUAUUAUUUUUCAUUCAAACAGAAACUAGAUUUGGUCUUUAAAAAGUCCUCAAAGUGAG
Molecule: long non-coding RNA, 20402 nt
Filed under: Xyrichtys novacula (pearly razorfish)
Lineage: Eukaryota; Metazoa; Chordata; Actinopteri; Labriformes; Labridae
Source: RNAcentral